UGGGUCAUGAAUUCGUUUUUCUCAGGAGCCGCGCAAAGACACAGAGCCGGUGAGAGCUGGAGGAUCUGCCCGGGAGAUGAAGUGCUGGCCGUGCCCUGCGAGCAGGUGCGGGGAAGGCUUCCUUCCUCGGCCUGCACCGCUGCGAAAAGCAGUGAGAGCGGCAGAGUAUGCUCAGUACGGAGCUGGGAGCAGGAGAGGGAUCAUGCCUGCGUUUGUCUUCCAAGGUGACCGUAAAUGAAGUGCAACACAUGAAUGUAUUCCCCCUGAGAAAUGCAGUAAACUAUUUUGCUAUCAAGAGCAGUAAGAUUUCAUCAUACAGUGAAAUUGUUCUGAUUCUUUCCAGAUAUUUCCAUACAGCGAGAACUGUCUGCUCAGUACUGGUCACAGAAAGCACCUUGAAACUGCUACUCAGCAUUACAGAAGCUCUACUUCCAUUUCAGCCAAAGGUGGAGGAGCCGUUUUCACAGUGUAAUGAGCAAUGA
This 482-nucleotide long non-coding RNA is filed under the name Numida meleagris (helmeted guineafowl). RNAcentral's name for it is "lncRNA (ENSNMEG00000000111.1)". Lineage: Eukaryota; Metazoa; Chordata; Aves; Galliformes; Numididae. The record is from RNAcentral.